RNAcentral lists this ribosomal RNA (439 nucleotides) under uncultured bacterium. RNAcentral's name for it is "partial 16S ribosomal RNA". It matches the Rfam family "Bacterial small subunit ribosomal RNA", at positions 339 to 795 of the family's 1533-position model. The record is from RNAcentral.
CUACGGGGUGCACCAGUGAGGAAUAUUGCACAAUGGGGGGAACCCUGAUGCAGCAACGCCGCGUGGAGGAUGACGCAUUUCGGUGUGUAAACUCCUUUUAUAUGUCAAGAAAAUGACGGUAGCAUAUGAAUAAGCACCGGCUAACUCCGUGCCAGCAGCCGCGGUAAUACGGAGGGUGCAAGCGUUACUCGGAAUCACUGGGCGUAAAGGACGCGUAGGCGGGUUGGCAAGUCAGGUGUGAAAUCCUACGGCUGAACUGUAGAACUGCAUUUGAAACUUCUAAUCUAGAGUAUGGGAGGGGGAGAUGGAAUUAGUGGUGUAGGGGUAAAAUCCGUAGAUAUCACUAGGAAUACCUAAAGCGAAGGCGAUCUCCUGGAACAUUACUGACGCUAAGGCGUGAAAGCGUGGGGAGCAAACAGGAUUAGAUACCCCCGUAGUC